UCUGGACCUGCUUUUCUACUGAACUCACAAGUUCAUUACCUCACUAUCACUUUGUCUAAACAGGAACGAUGAUCACACUCUUUGUCGCGCUUUACUCUCUUUUUUCUCUCUGCACAGCUGGAAAAACUUCUGACAUCAAGGAGCUUCAUGUGAAAACAGUAAAGCGUGGAGAAAAUGUAACUAUGGAGUGUAACAUGAGCAAGGGCAAAGACAAAGAUAAGUUAGCUUGGUACAGACAGAGUUUUGGAAAAGUGCCUCAGUUUUUUGUAAGAUAUUACGGGUCUAAUAGCUACACAUUUGCUGAUGAAUUUAAAGAUAGCCGCUUCAGUAUGACUGUAAAUGACCAGAAGUUUGAUCUCAACAUUAUCGGAACGAGAGAAGAUGAUGGAGGAGAAUAUUUAUGUGGAGAAGUGGAGGGAACUGCACUAAAGUUCACAUCUGGAACACGUCUGCAAUUUGAAGGGUCCAAUGAGGGUUCAAAGAGCAGUGAUGGAGAAGGUUCCAGUUGUACUGAUCAGAUGCAUGUGCUGGUCUGGCUCUCCAUUUUUAGAGUUGGAGUUCUUGCCUUCAUGCUUCUUAUCUUUCCAAUAAUCCUGAUUGUUUUCAAAUUAAGAUCAAAUUAGAAAUUCAGAUACAAAUGGAAGAAAUACUGAUUUAAGGAGAAAACAGUGUGUUAGAUUUAACUAGAGCUACUUGCUUAUAUUGUCCGUAUAUUGGAAUGAUUUUGGUCUAACUGUAAUGUGGAGGUAUUUACCAGCCGUACUUACAGCUGCAUUUAAGGACUCCUGAGAGGCGCAGUACAAAAUCGUUCUCCCUAUUGU
This is a non-coding RNA of Ictalurus furcatus (blue catfish), 821 nucleotides long. The record is from the annotation of a RefSeq genome assembly. Lineage: Eukaryota; Metazoa; Chordata; Actinopteri; Siluriformes; Ictaluridae.